UACAGAGGGGGCAAGCGUUGUUCGGAAUUACUGGGCGUAAAGGGCGCGUAGGCGGCCAACUAAGUCAGACGUGAAAUCCCCAGGCUCAACCUGGGAACUGCGUCUGAUACUGGAUGGCUCGAGUUCGGGAGAGGGAAGUGGAAUUCCAGGUGUAGCGGUGAAAUGCGUAGAUAUCUGGAGGAACACCGGUGGCGAAGGCGGCUUCCUGGACCGACACUGACGCUGAGGCGCGAAAGCCAGGGGAGCGAAUGGG
RNAcentral lists this ribosomal RNA (253 nucleotides) under uncultured bacterium. Its description in RNAcentral is "partial 16S ribosomal RNA". It matches the Rfam family "Bacterial small subunit ribosomal RNA", at positions 524 to 776 of the family's 1533-position model. The record is from RNAcentral.